Zea mays is the source of this 2944-nucleotide RNA transcript. RefSeq lists it as uncharacterized. The transcript has 13 exons. Lineage: Eukaryota; Viridiplantae; Streptophyta; Magnoliopsida; Poales; Poaceae. The record is from RefSeq and is marked validated.
AGCCUUAAACGGCCGGCUAAGCGGAUUAGCCAAUCGGUUUGGUGACCUUUCCAUCCCGUUCCGUUCCACUGGUCCCUCGCUGUCCCCAGCUUCCCCGCCCCUCCUCUAGCCGUCGAUUCGAACUCUCUCAAAACCAAAACAGCAGUGCAUGAGAAAAAAGGGGAAAAAUCUCGACACAUCGCAACGCGCCGCUCCCAAAUCUAGGUUGCUUGGCCAUGGCCGACCCGCCGGCCCCCGACACACAGCUGGAACAGGCGUCACCCGCCGCUGCCCCCGCUGACCCUGCCGAGGACGCCCCGGUCGAGAAGAGCCCCGCGGCGCCCCUCACGCUGGAGCCGGACGCCGCUGCGGUGUCGGAUGGGGCAGCGGGUGAGGUGGAGGAUGAGGAGUACGUGAGCGACCCCGACGAUGAGGCGCUUCCUACGAUGCGGCGCCGAGAGGCCAGUGACGACGAGGGGUCCGAGGACGGGAGGCCCACGGCGCGGAUGGGCCCUGACCAGGACGACGACGGACAAGGGGCCCCCGAGGCGUACGACGACGAGGUGGACGAGGAGGAUAAGGAGUACUACGACGAGGAAGACAUGGGAGAGGGGUUCGAGGAGGAGUACGAAGGGCGCGUGGCACUUCCCAUGGACGACGGCGGCGGCAGCCAGGUCUCGCGCGGAGAGGAUGGCGUGGCUAUGGAGGAGGGGUUGACGGAGGGGGAGGCCAAGGGCGAGGGGGGAGAGAAGGAGCAGGAGCCGUUUGCGGUGCCCACUUCCGGCGCCUUCUACAUGCACGAUGACCGGUUUCAGGAGGAGAACCGUGGCAGACGCAGGCGAAUGUUUGGUGUGAGGAAGUUAUGGGAUGUUAAAGACAAUCAAGCUUGGGUGCAUGACAGAUUUGAGGAGAUGAACUUGCAUGAUGAUUUCUAUGAAUCUUUAUUGCAGGACCAGCGGAUGUCAAGAGGUCGUGGUGGUCGAGGUAAAGCAAGAGGUGGUGGCCGUGGUUUUUCCAGAGGUGGAAAGCAGCGUAAUUACCAUGAAGAUAGCAACAACACCCAAAAUCGCACCCCAAAGGUAGUGAGAGGGCGAGGACCUCGACGUUAUGAAGCUGCUGCAAGGAACAACAGAGAGGUUGUUGGAUCCCAACGAAAACAAGCAGCUAGAUUUCGAGAAUCUGCUCCAAAUGCUGUAGCAGCCAGAGAUUCCGGGCAAGUUUCACAUGCACAGCCAGAGGCUGCCCCUCCCAAAAGGAAUGUCAUGAGUUCAAGCCUAAAUUCUGCGUCCCCACCUUUUUAUCCCUCCAGUGCAUCUACUCAAGAUUUUCCGGUAGCAGCUCAAACGAGGGACAUACAAGCAGGAGGUUCUAAUAAGAUCCCUCCAUCUUCCAUGAAGAUGGAUGAUAACUCAAAGCUACAAUCUGGUUCAAUGGUUAGAGGGAGAAUAGCCAUGGAUUAUGGUGGGCGUGAUAAGUUACUUGCUGAUGGUCCUAUUAGGUCAUCCCAAGGAAGGGCACCAACGGCGUCACUGAAUUCAGGAUUCACAUCAUCAUCUGUUAAUCCUGGCCAAUCCCCUAUUGCGAGGGCUUCAGGGGGCAAUUCAAACAUCGGAAUAUCUUCAAAUAAUCAGCCACAAAGUCAUGGAUCAGUGAUGCACCAAAAGUUAGGGCAAGUGCAGAAUCAGUCUGCAACAAGAAUCCCAACUCAGCAAUUGAGUCAUCGGACUAGUAAUUUGUCACCAGUGGCUCAGCAUCUACCUGGUAAAUCAGGAGAAAGUGGCGAGAAUGGUUCAUACCCUACUCUGAAUGAUUCAAAGACAGCUUCUGCGGUGGUAAAAGUCAAUAGCCAGGAAACUGGGAUGAGUUCAUUUAUGUAUGGUGGCACCCAGGUUAUUGGGGCUGCGGGCCUUUCCCAGGGCGAUCAAAAUUUUCCUGGCACUCCAGCUCUGCUGCCAGUGAUGCAAUUUGGGAGUCAGCAUCCUGGUGGUCUUGGAGUUCCUACUGUUGGUAUGGCCCUCCCUGGCUAUGUAGCUCAACAGCAGAUGGGAAUGGGAAACAACGAAAUGACAUGGUUGCCAUUAUUGGCUGGUGCAGCAGGUGCUUUUGGAGGAUCAUAUCCACCCUAUAUAGCCCUUGAUCCGAGCUUUUACUCUAGAUCUUCAGGACAGACAUCAUCAUCAGUUCCAUCCAGGUGACUAGGCGUUCAGGCGAGAGCUGGGUUCAUCUGGACGCCUAGGCGGGGCCUACGCGACAAGUCGCCACUGUUUCCCAAGGCGAGCUGGGGAACCUAGUACUAAUAGAGGGUCAAAAUAUCCUCAAAAUGAUAUUGGGAAUGAGGAGCUUGAUGAGCGCCAGAACAAGCCUAGAAGAUACUCAGAGAUGAACUUCAGCCAGUGAAGCAUCUUGUAAGGUGAACUGCAUCUGAAUAAGCUGGUUAUGGCCCUAUUUAGGCCCUUUGUGAUCUCCAGUUCUGAUCUGGAGCACUUUGGGUGGCUUUGAUACCCUUAAUUAUGUUAGGUCUUAUGCCUGUUCGUGGAGUGUUAUCUGAUGGGUCACUUCACAGCAGAGCAGGGGGUGGAAUUCGUUACUUGAAUUAUAGUAUUGCUCGGUUGUGCUGCGUCUGGAAAUGUCAAAUUUGUUGCUGCGUCUGAAGACGUGGACGGUUGCUGAAGAGAGCUUGAAAAUAAUGGUUUGCGUUGGUUGAUAAAGUUUAAGAGUUUUUUUUUUAAAGUACAUCCUGUUAGUGACUCCAGUUGGUGGCAGUGUACUCUGAUGUAUCGGGUCCGCAUAUAGUGGCUGCUAAGACCAAGCGGCUUCAUUGCCGAAGCUUGUAUAUUUUGGAAUCCGUUGAGUGCGGUUUGUGACAAUUUUCAGCUUGCAUGAGCGUGUCCAACAUGGAUUUUUUUUUUGAAAAGCCAACAAGAGGAAUCCGCCCGUCUUUUUAUCCCCGGGUGAUAGAAAUUUC